CAAUAGCGUAUAUUUAAGUUGCUGCAGUUAAAAAGCUCGUAGUUGGAUUUCGGGUGGGAAUGGCCGGUCCGCCGUUUCGGUGUGCACUUGCUACGCCCACCUUGCUGCUGGGGACGUGCUCUUGAGUUCACGCUCGGGACACGGAGUCGGCGAGGUUACUUUGAGUAAAUUAGAGUGUUCAAAGCAGGCCUACGCUCUGAAUACAUUAGCAUGGAAUAACACGAUAGGACUCUGGCCUAUCUUGUUGGUCUGUAGGACCGGAGUAAUGAUUAAGAGGGACAGUCGGGGGCAUUCGUAUUUCAUUGUCAGAGGUGAAAUUCUUGGAUUUAUGAAAGACGGACUACUGCGAAAGCAUUUGCCAAGGAUGUUUUCAUUAA
This 377-nucleotide ribosomal RNA is filed under the name uncultured eukaryote. RNAcentral's name for it is "partial 18S ribosomal RNA". It matches the Rfam family "Eukaryotic small subunit ribosomal RNA", at positions 592 to 976 of the family's 1831-position model. The record is from RNAcentral.